UGCUGGUUAGCGCAGUUGGUAGAGCACUCCACUGGAUAUGGAGAGAGAUUCCUGGUUCAAUGCCGAGACCAGGAG
RNAcentral lists this transfer RNA (75 nucleotides) under Ixodes scapularis (black-legged tick). RNAcentral describes it as "tRNA-Ser". Lineage: Eukaryota; Metazoa; Arthropoda; Arachnida; Ixodida; Ixodidae. The record is from RNAcentral.